AUAUGAACCGUUAUAACCGGCGAUACCCGAAUGGGGAAACCCAGUGUGAUUCGUCACACUAUCAUUAACUGAAUCCAUAGGUUAAUGAGGCGAACCGGGGGAACUGAAACAUCUAAGUACCCCGAGGAAAAGAAAUCAACCGAGAUUCCCCCAGUAGCGGCGAGCGAACGGGGAGGAGCCCAGAGCCUGAAUCAGCAUGUGUGUUAGUGGAAGCGUCUGGAAAGGCGCGCGAUACAGGGUGACAGCCCCGUACACAAAAGCGCAUGUGCUGUGAGCUCGAUGAGUAGGGCGGGACACGUGGUAUCCUGUCUGAAUAUGGGGGGACCAUCCUCCAAGGCUAAAUACUCCUGACUGACCGAUAGUGAACCAGUACCGUGAGGGAAAGGCGAAAAGAACCCCGGCGAGGGGAGUGAAAAAGAACCUGAAACCGUGUACGUACAAGCAGUGGGAGC
RNAcentral lists this ribosomal RNA (452 nucleotides) under Salmonella enterica subsp. enterica serovar Derby. Its description in RNAcentral is "bacterial LSU rRNA". It matches the Rfam family "Bacterial large subunit ribosomal RNA", at positions 88 to 580 of the family's 2925-position model. The record is from RNAcentral. Lineage: Bacteria; Pseudomonadati; Pseudomonadota; Gammaproteobacteria; Enterobacterales; Enterobacteriaceae.